GGACGGCUUCACUACCGGCCAUCAUUGCCCGUCGCGACUUGUUUACAGUGUAGGCGUGGGAAAGGCGGUGAUGUUUACCCUAUUUCACCCUUAUUAGUAACUUCCCCUUGGUCCAAAUAGUGUCCAGGAGAGCCAGUGCCCCUCGCAGAGAUGGCAGAGCUUGAAGAAGAGCUGAUUGGUGAGGAUCUUGACUAUGAGUAUGACUUGGAUGAGGAAGAGGAAGAGGCACUGCUGGCAGGAGAAGAUCCUUCACAUGAGGGAGCUGUUGAUGACAUAAUUGAGUUAAGAGUGGAAGAUGAGUUUGAUGAGGAUGAUGGUGGUCAGAUGGGCCAUACCAAGAGUGUCCACAGUAGACUACAGCCUGCCGAGUCAGUGUUUGAAGAGGACCUGGAACAUCAGUAUGAGGAUUCAUCAAUGAGUAAUGUUCGAGUGGAAACCCAGAAUAUCGUUGAGGAAGAAGAGGAGGAGGAAGAAGAAGAGGAAGAGGAUGAUGAAGAGGGGAGAAGCCGUGACAGAUUCAAGAGUGAGCGGUCCAAGAUCUCCCUCACCAACACCACAGUGGAACGCAUCAUCCCAGAGUCCCUUGAUGAAGUUCAAGUGAAGAAGCAUGAUUUGGUGGACAACAGAAGAGGCCACGGUGGACGGGGAGGGUAUGGGCGGGACCGUGGCCGAGGGUGGGGUGGUGGUGGUGGCGGAAACUGGGGUCGUGGAAUGAACAGAGGGUGUAAUGGGCCCCCACCAAGAGGAGGAAUGCUACCCCAGCCUCACCUGUCCCGUUUCCAGCCUCCCAGACCUAUGCAGAUUCCAACAUGGGAGCCACUCAUGUAUGCUGCACAGAUGCAGAUGUCCAAGGCGGGGAUGCCCAUGAACCGCAACGGCCCCCCAGGGAUGGGUCGGCCUCCUCCUCUCCCCAUGGUGUCCCUGGCCAACUCCCUCAUCCAGCGGCCUCCACCACUCAUGAGCCACAAUCCAGGCUUCCCUAGACUGCAGAUCAGGAAUAGUUCUCAGUGGAGUACAGGUGUGCUUCCCUUGGGGGCUGGAGCAAUACUGAACCAGUUUGUGCAGCAGUCCCAGCCCAUGCCCAGGGAUGACUUGCGCAACUCCCUCAAAAGACACAAUGAGCCACCCAAUAUUCCACCAAAGCAGAUGAGAGUUGGUCAGCCACCUCCUCCCAUGAACAACCAACAGGCCAUGGCAAGGAAGAAGCUCAACAAUGCCAUGAAUCGUCAGCGUGGUGGCCCCGUCAAGAAGACUCCCAUCAGCUCCAGGCUGUCAAUGCCGCCUGCCAACACCAACCCCAACCUCACUACCAUCAAGACUGUGGACAUUGGACAGAUGAACAAGCAGGGACAGGACAGCAGACCUCAACAAAACCAAGGAAACAACCAGUCACAGAAUCAGCAAGGUAAUCAGUUUAACAGGGGUAACCAGCAGCAGCAGAAACAGCAACAGAAGCAGCAACAACCAUCUCAAAAUCAACAGCAAGAACAGAAACAGAAAGAACUGGAACAAAAAGAGCAAGAUAACAGACAGCAAGGGAUGCUAAUAAAAGAUUCACCUAAGUCAGCAGACAAAAAUGCACCUGAGGAAAUGGUCAUUGAUGAUCCCGAGUAUCAUAAAAAACUGUUACGUCAGAAGCAGCUAAGGGAACAGCUGUUAGCCAAGAAGGAAGCUCGUCGAAAGGCUGCUGCUGUUAUAAAGGCAAGUGAAAUUGCAACAAGGAAGGCACGACAGGAGAUGGAAAACAAGAAAUCUGAUGGCCCAAAACCUGGAGACCAGCAGGUGCCACCGGCUCACCUGCCUCCCCAACAGGAACAGCAGCAGGCCAAGCAGCACCAGCCACCACCUGGGAGAGGACCAAAAGGGCCAGGAGGACCAGGAGGACCAGGCCUGGACCACCCUCACCAUCCAGCUGGCAACUCUGGCUUGUCACAGAGCCCCACACGGCAGCCAUUCAACAGGCAGCGAGGUGGUGCAAACUCCAAUCGAGGAAGAGGCGGUAUGCACCACAACCAGCCACGUUUCCCCCGUGACUCAGGACAUCCAGACCAUCCUCACAACCACCACGAGCACCGGCGACCUCCUCGUGAAGAGCCAGGCUUCCCGCUGAGAUCACCUGCACCACUCUUUACUGAGCCUCCACCCCCAAGAGGCACUGAUCCAGGAUUCCUGCAGGACAGGCCCAGGCAACUCUUUGGACCACAGCACCAGCCUGGUGGACGCCAGUCCCAUCAUGGCCCACCCCAAGAUGAGCCUCCACACCAGCAGAGGCCUCCACCUCACCUCCUGCCCCCAACACACCACCCACCUCCUCCAUUGCCACAUCCAAAUCACCCACCUCCCCACACACAUCACCCACCACCACACCAUCCUCAGUCAUCUCCAACUUCAUCACACCAUCCCCACAAUCAGCCACCUCCACAUCACCAUCACCGCAUUGAAACUGUCCAUCAUCAGCCUCCUCCAAUUCCUCCACCUCAUCACCAUCACUCUGACCUCUCACAGCCACCACCCCUGCCUCACCACGGCCUCCCACCAAACACCUCCCGCCCUCCUCAGGACCCACACACAUCUCCCCAACCAGACUUUCCACCUCACAGAGACCACCACCCUCACCACCACCAGAACCAGUACCCACCCCAGCCAGACGCGUUUCCCCCACGAGUGCCCCCGCCAGCCCUGCCCCACGGUAAGGAGAGCCGCCACCAUGACUAUGGGUCCGAGGGGCGGUAUGGAGAACCCCCUCCGUGGGAAAGCCGCCAGCAGGGCUACAAGGAUUAUGAAGACAAUUACAGGGAACCGUACGAAGAUGAUUAUUACCGUAAGGAUCACCAUUAUGACAGCCAUGGGUACCAAGACCACUACAGACAGAGCGAUGACGCAUAUGAAGACCCUGACCAGCGUUACAGGGAGGACUACCAGAAGCAUCGCCAGCAGCAUCAACAAAACCAGCAGCACCAACAUCAGCACCAGCACCACCAGCAGCAGGAGUACCCAGAGGACCACUACCACCAUGAGGAGUACAAUAACAGCAAUUACAGGGAGAAGUACCAGGAGACCCCAGAGUACGAGCAGCCAAAGAGACCUAGAGAUGUUAAGAGUCGCCUUGGUGGUCGCCUGGAUGUACCUCAAAAUCCACACAACCUCCAGGUCAAGGUGGUGCAGACUUCAGGGCAAGAUCAGGAGGCUCCACAACUUCAACAGGAGGGCCAAAAGAUUCAAACAGUGCAGCGCCAGAAGACAGCAGUGUCUCGUAAAUUUCGCAGAAUCACUCGCAGGAGUCCACAUGGAGAGAUUGUAUCUAUUACUAGGAUUCCAGUUGAUGAAGAUGGGAACCAGAUUGGACCACAGAUUACUGAAUAUGAAGCAAGUGAGGCAGGUGCAGAUAAACCUGACAGUACAGGAUCAGUAGCACAGUUUCCACAGUCGCGUCCUGUUGUUAAAAAUUUGCGGCAAAUUGUGAGGAAAGUGCCUGUAACUCGUCAGCAACAGCAGCAACAGCAACAGCAGCAGCAACAGCAGGUUAAAUUACGAGAACUUUCACAAAUUAACCAAUCAGGUGGCCAGCAACAAUCACAACAGCAAGUGAAAAUUGUGAAGAGAACAGUUUUAUCCUCUGGGGAAACACCAUCACAGUGCUUACUCUCAGACAAGCAGCACAGGUCGCCGUAUUGUGACCAGCACCAGCAGCGCCGGGGGACGAGGCGGCACCAUGCGCGUGGGUACUGGAAUCCGCAGGGUAGUGACAGCAGGACCAACCACCUCAACCAACCAGGAGCUACCCACUGUCCAACUGUGUGACCUUCCUUCUAAUCUCACUCUGUCAGACAUUAACCAAAUGGUGGCUGAUGCAGGGGUAGGGCAGCCCGUGAGUGUUGACUAUAUUCCAGGCUCUCGUGAGUGCAUGUUGAGGUUUCAAGUAGCAGAAGUCGCUGCUAAAUUCUCUCAAAAAAUUAAUCGGAGGAUGGUAAACAUGUCCUUCAUUAGAGCCAGUGCAAUUCUGUAAGUAUUACC
RNAcentral lists this unclassified non-coding RNA (4014 nucleotides) under Portunus trituberculatus (swimming crab). RNAcentral describes it as "rNA-binding protein 33-like, transcript variant X3". The record is from RNAcentral. Lineage: Eukaryota; Metazoa; Arthropoda; Malacostraca; Decapoda; Portunidae.